ACCUCCAGUUCGGAUUGCAGCCUGCAACUCGGCUGCAUGAAGCCGGAAUCGCUAGUAAUCGCAGAUCAGCAUGCUGCGGUGAAUACGUUCCCGGGUCUUGUACACACCGCCCGUCACACCAUGGGAGUCAGUAACGCCCGAAGUCAGUGACCCAACCUGAAAAGGAGGGAGCUGCCGAAGGCGGGACGGAUAACUGGGGUGAAGUCGUAACAAGGUACC
This 219-nucleotide ribosomal RNA is filed under the name uncultured bacterium. RNAcentral describes it as "partial 16S ribosomal RNA". It matches the Rfam family "Bacterial small subunit ribosomal RNA", at positions 1284 to 1500 of the family's 1533-position model. The record is from RNAcentral.